AUGAACGGCCAUAGUGGUCUGGUCCUACCCGAUCCCAUCCCGAACUCGGAAGUCAAGCAGGCCUACGUUCUGGACAGUACUGUACUUUGUAUGGGAAAUCCAGAAAGCUGUUCAUC
This 116-nucleotide ribosomal RNA is filed under the name Candidatus Woesearchaeota archaeon RBG_13_36_6. Lineage: Archaea; Nanobdellati; Candidatus Woesearchaeota. The record is from RNAcentral.